Felis catus (domestic cat) is the source of this 575-nucleotide long non-coding RNA. RefSeq lists it as uncharacterized. The record is from RefSeq and is a predicted model, not a curated record. Lineage: Eukaryota; Metazoa; Chordata; Mammalia; Carnivora; Felidae. The transcript is spliced from 3 exons.
UAAGAUGGGGGAAGGGGGUUGAGGGGCUGCUUAGGGAGGCUGCCGGGGCUGAGGAAGAUUUGAGAAGGGGCCCUUCCUUAGCACGUGGGGAGCUGUAUGUUCCCAGCCCCCAAGGCAAAGCUCCCACAAGCUGCUCAAUCUAACAGAGGGGCUCCCACGGGCUGUGAUUUUUGGUCUACAGGGAGCUGGCAUUCGCCUGGGGGAAUGUCAUGCCCUUUCCCACCCUGGAGCCCAGCUCUGGGGCCUCAUCAAGUCGAGCAGUGCGGCAGCUGGGACUGGGCUGGAUUCGGAGGUUUGGAGCUCCUUGGUCGUUAGCACGUGGACAGUGGCUGAACCAUGGAAUACAUGACGACAUCCUGCAGAGUGAGGCCAAGGAGGGAAGAGGCCCAGAGCAGCACCUGGAGGGGGGUGGAGAGUCAGAAGAAAGUUCUUCCAUCUCUCCCAGAACCCCCUCACCAUCUUCAAUGACCAGGCUGAGGCCAACGCAAGCGAGGCAGCCCAUCCCCAUCCUUGUUCUGCUCCACUUCUCAGCCAGCUCUGUUUGCAGCAAGCGCCUGGAAGGUGGGACGGGAGGC